Molecule: ribosomal RNA, 418 nt
Filed under: Epinephelus ongus (white-streaked grouper)
Lineage: Eukaryota; Metazoa; Chordata; Actinopteri; Perciformes; Serranidae
Description: partial 12S ribosomal RNA
Rfam family: Bacterial small subunit ribosomal RNA
Source: RNAcentral
GGAUUAGAUACCCCACUAUGCUUUGCCCUAAACAUUGAUAGCCCCUUACAAUUACUAUCCGCCCGGGAACUACGAGCAACAGCUUAAAACCCAAAGGACUUGGCGGUGCUUUAGACCCACCUAGAGGAGCCUGUUCUAAAACCGAUAACCCCCGUUCAACCUCACCUUUUCUUGUUCUCCCCGCCUAUAUACCGCCGUCGUCAGCUUACCCUAUGAAGGCCCCUUAGUAAGCACAAUUGGCACAGCCCAAAACGUCAGGUCGAGGUGUAGCGUAUGGAAAGGGAAGAAAUGGGCUACAUUCCCUACUACAGGGAAUCACGAACAAUAUUACUGAAACGUAUAUCUAGAAGGAGGAUUUAGCAGUAAGCAGAAAAUAGAGUGUUCUGCUGAAACCGGCCCUGAAGCGCGCACACACCGC